RNAcentral lists this ribosomal RNA (497 nucleotides) under uncultured bacterium. Its description in RNAcentral is "partial 16S ribosomal RNA". It matches the Rfam family "Bacterial small subunit ribosomal RNA", at positions 28 to 507 of the family's 1533-position model. The record is from RNAcentral.
GAUGAACGCUGGCGGCGUGCCUAAUACAUGCAAGUCGAGCGAACAGACGAGGAGCUUGCUCCUCUGACGUUAGCGGCGGACGGGUGAGUAACACGUGGAUAACCUACCUAUAAGACUGGGAUAACUUCGGGAAACCGGAGCUAAUACCGGAUAAUAUAUUGAACCGCAUGGUUCAAUAGUGAAGGACGGUUUUGCUGUCACUUAUAGAUGGAUCCGCGCCGCAUUAGCUAGUUGGUAAGGUAACGGCUUACCAAGGCAACGAUGCGUAGCCGACCUGAGAGGGUGAUCGGCCACACUGGAACUGAGACACGGUCCAGACUCCUACGGGAGGCAGCAGUAGGGAAUCUUCCGCAAAGGGCGAAAGCCUGACGGAGCAACGCCGCGUGAGUGAUGAAGGUCUUCGGAUCGUAAAACUCUGUUAUUAGGGAAGAACAAAUGUGUAAGUAACUAUGCACGUCUUGACGGUACCUAAUCAGAAAGCCACGGCUAACUACGUG